Long non-coding RNA from Papaver somniferum (opium poppy), 4067 nucleotides. RefSeq lists it as uncharacterized. The record is from RefSeq and is a predicted model, not a curated record. The transcript is spliced from 7 exons. Lineage: Eukaryota; Viridiplantae; Streptophyta; Magnoliopsida; Ranunculales; Papaveraceae.
GGAUGAUGGAGCCAAGGAUGUAUCAGGUCCGUGCUACAGAAAAUCAGAAAACAAUAGAAAUCCGUGGACAAGAAAAUCACACCAACUGAGAAGAUUUUUAAAUCAAAACAAAAUGGGAGCCUAAUCACAUUAACUGUGGAUCUGAGAUAGAUUUUUGGGGGGCCUUCUACUAAUUUUUUUAGUGUACAUCCAGGUGGCUUUGUUGUGGCCAAGAUGAGAACACGGAGAAGAACUAAGGCAGGUUGUGUUGUUAAACAUGGAAGAAUUAUUAUUGUGGCUGAAUUACUACUACCAUGAAUAUGUUUGUGAUGUAGAUGGUACUGCAGCUCGCUGUGGAUAUGAAGAAUUUGUUGGAAUGGUCCACUAAUGCGAGUAGAUACAUGUUCUUCUUUUUUAGUUUAAUCUUUAAUGUAUUUUUUCUUAAAAGCGUAAGUUAGAUUACUUUGUUAUAUUGUUUCUAUUAGAUGCUAACUAAUAAUGUGCAGGAAACAGAUUUGUGGCAAUGAUGCAUCAUUGCAACAAUCUUUCAAUCAAAUGAGAAAGCACGAAACACCUAAGUCUGUCAAUGUUGAUGACUUUUGUCUCAUACUUUCCCAUUUGUUCCAAAGGUUGCAAUGACCUAAUAUACACGAGAUACAAAGUACUAAUACUAAACAGGGCCUCAACUGAUACUAAUGGUGGUGAAAAGAUUAUAGUUGAAAUGGGGUUCUGCAAUGAGAAAGCGGAUUACGUAUAAUAUGAUCAAGCAAUCUUCUUGACAGACCAAUCUAUAGUUUAAUAUACAAAUUCAUUCCAUCUCGGGUAUUACUGAGUUUUUUUGUUUUUUUUUUGAUACUGAUAUAGUAUUUGUUUUUUGGACUGCUUGCAGGACAUCUCUGUGAUGCUAUUCUGAAAAGAAAUUCAGCUAAUGAAUUUGGUUUGAGAUUGCAGGCUUUGAGAUUGGAAAUAAGAGAAGAGGUAAAGCUAAGCUGCAAUCAACAUUCAUGUCUCUUUUUGAAUUCGAUCAACGGAGGUGCUUAGUAUGGUAAGUUUCAGGGUUUUUCUUGAACAACAGGGAAUUUAUAGUCAUGCUAUUUGUUUUCACAAUUGUUGUCUUUAUUUUGGUGAAUGUUUUUGUUGCAACAGUAUUUAGUUUUUUGUUUUCAUUAUCCUAGAAAGCUUGGGCAUCAGUUAUGGCUGACUUUAUAAAAUUUUCGAACAAGCGUUGCUUUGAUAAAAUGUGUGUUCUGUAGAGUAACCUUAAAAUGUGAACUUUGAUUUAGUUUAUCAUGGUUCGUUAUCUUGGGGUUAGAAUUAUGUGGCUGCUGUUUUAGAGAGUGGGUAGUUCAGAGAUUAAGGAUGCAGUGGUUGGCUUCUUAGUUUAAGGCUUUAAUCACGUUUGGCAGUGUAUUUCUUCUCAAAUUGCAGCCAAACUAUAUUCUUUUAAGAGCUCAGAGUAGUGUCUGACCAAUGUCACAGUGACAUAUUCGAUUGCUUUCCUAUUUUUUCACUGGGAAAGGGUGGUGUUACCUUGCUUGGAGAUUAUGUUCGUACUAAAUUGCCUAUCUGGAUGCAUGUCUUUUGAGGUACGCCAUACUAAAACACUUAAAGUAGAGUUGGAAAGUUAUUGUCUCGUCCAUGAACUAUCUCUUAACGGCUUACAAUAUGUGUAUCUUGGGAUGCUGGUUUGAACUUAAUCUUAUAGGAUUGUAACCAACUUGCUGUAAAGCUCGAAAAAGUAGGAAAAAAAAUGUAGAUUCUGGUAUCUCGGUUGGUGUCUACUUUGAAGUGGUAAGUUUACUAUCGAAAGCUUGGCCGAAGAAUCAUCCUCAAAUCUGUAUCGUUUCUUCCCUCUCUGUCAAUCACUCCAAAUCAAAUAACUUCACCUUUUUUUUCAUUCUAUUUUUGUUAACGUCUUCAUUUUAUUUAUUUUUGCUGCUGUUGUUGUAGGGUUUGGAUAUCAUGAGUACUUUUCUCGGCCACAACUUUUAUGAGCUCAUGCAAUUUUAUUGGCAUGUUCUGGCCCUUCUGUAAGCAUAUGAGGCAUGAAUUCUCAUUGCAACCCACCAAUUAUUCGUCACGAUUUGAAGUCAUCCAAUUUGUUGGUGGGUAAGAACUGGAUUGUGUAAGCAAGCAGAUGUCAAUGUACGGACAAAUAAUAACUGGUUACCAUGAUGAUUUGGUAAAGGAUAGGAUGUUCCGUCUUUAUGGGGUCCGGAAACAUCGUAUUACGCCCCAAUGUUAUAUUUUGUGCUCAGAUUACUCGGACCGCUGAUUAUUCUGCUGCUCUAAGGUCAAUUAUUGGAUAGCAGAUUAUGUGGAUGUCACAGGUGGAGAUGCCUUCUUGGUGGUGAUUUAUAAAUGUUGCGGGAAAAAGCAUCUGUUAAAUUUCAUCUCUCCAUACAGAGUGAUACAAACCGGCCAUUAAUUAGACUGAAACUCUAAUUUCUGUGUGGUUCUGCUUUAUUAUUUUGGAUUUAGAAUGGUUUUGAGUUUUCUUCAUAUCUAUAAGUAGAAAAACCUAAUUUUGCCUAACCAAAACCUAAUUUUGCCUUCCUGCCUGCUCCUAAAAAAUAUUUGCCUCCCCUUGGAGGAUUUUCUGGCUCCACCCCUGCGACAACCUCUCCACCAACGGGUACUGAAUUCCCAAAGCCAGUUACAUAAAUAAACCCAACACUUUGCUUUUCGUAACAAAUCAACAAUAAGUUUCAGAUAUGCGGAUGAGGAAGAAUGGGGCAUGGAUUGUUCUACUGCACAUGACGUUAAGAUAAAUAACAAGUUCAGUUAAACCGGUUUUCGGAUUUACUUAUCAUGUUUUCUCAAUUUGUUUAUCUUUCCUGUAUAUAUGAAUUAAAGGAGCUCCAGGCACAUGCAACAGGUGCAGUAGAGUUGAAAGUAUGGCUGACAAAAGGUUGAAUGGGUUUCGGAAUGAAUGACCGAGAGACUCCACGGUGUUCUUGGACAUCAUAUAUUAUGCCGAUAAGAAGCAUACUAAGUAUCAAACAAGGUCAUUCAGGUCUUUUCAUAUUGAAGAGGUUAGAUUACCUGUUGAAGGGAUUUUUUCUAAAAAAUCUAUGAUUACUGUCAGUCUUUACCCGCCGAUGUUAGAGUUUUAUCCAGUUUAAGAUUUCAAACUUCAUGAACAAGGUAAAGAGAAAAAGCUCAAGUGAUGCAUACCCUACCUAAAAUUUUAAAAAUUUGAUAAUAUAACCCUACCCAAAUUGUGAUAAACUCUUCCAUUUUUGCGAGAGUGUUAUCCGAAACUGUGUUAAUUAGAUAGUGUCUCACUUUGAGUCUUAAAUGUCACCAUUUUACUGCUUGCCAACUUUGAAUUUCAUUAGAUUAAUUCACUGUGAAAGUACUUUUUGUGAACUAUAAUUAUACCCUUAUGUAAAUAUAUGGUUUCCACUUUUAAGUGUAAAGGAAGAGUCUAAUUAUUGGGAUGAUUCCUAAAAAUUACAUUAGAGCUCAUGUUGGGAUAUUUUGAAGUGUAAUUCUGCACAGAACGCCACAAAAACUAUUCAAGAAAUCCGUGUGAGUGGGGUGAGUAGGGUGGGCCGAAAGGGAAUUAUCAGGAGGGGUCCACUUAUGUGUCAGUUGGGCCCACCAAAUGUGUCACAAUGGUUUUUGGGUGGUUUCUGAGUAUGGUCGUACUUUGACAUGUUCAUAGACUUAUACAGUCAAAGAAAGUUGAUUUUUUCUCCAACCAUGUUUAAUCUCUCAUCUUAAAUAUUUACCAAGUUUUAAUGGGAAAAAUCUAGGUGGAUAUAAACUACCUAUACCUGUCACAUUUGCAUACAACACGGGUGACGAAAAGGAAUCGGUGACCUAUCUUAAGAUACCAAAUUAAUUCUCUUAGUGAAAAGGGGAUGUGAGACUUAAUUAACAGUUUAAUAAGUGGCCGCAACUAGCAUAUUGUCCCGGCUUUUUGGGGAAGCCAACAAUAUCCUGUUUAUAUUGAAGACGACAAGGUUCGAAGGCCAUCAACAAGAUGGACUCACUGGAACUAAUAUUCAUCUCUCUGUCCUAUAUUUUUAUUUUGGUCUGUCUUUUUUAUUUGUCCGUUCUGUUUAUUAGACAUAUUUUUC